AUGAUCCCAGCGACGAAACCACGCACCGAGGACUUGCAUGUAAACUCCAGGGACCUGCAUGCAAGCGCCAGGGACUUGCAUGUAACGAAUGGAAGACGUGCGGACCGACCACAGUUACGUUGGCUACCACCUGAGCAUCAUGAUGUCAAGAUGAACGUGGAUGUAGGCUUCUCCAAGGUUGGCGACCGUGCUGCGUCAGCAGUAAUUUGCAGGGAUAAGGGGGGCAACUAUUUGGGUGCUUCGGCCAUCAUCUAUGAAGGACGCCUUAAUCCAGCAACACUCGAAGCACACGCAUGCAGCGAGGCCCUCUCGCUUGCAUCGGAUCUGCAGAUUCAAUCCGUGUGUGUGGCAUCUGACUGUCUGGAGGUAGUGAUGAGUAUACACGAUGAAGUUCCAUGCCGCUAUUACCCCAUCCUGCAAGAUAUUAAACACCAGAUGUCGCGCUUUCAUAAUAUCUCGUUUCUUCACGAAAGUAGGAAGUAUAAUGUGGAGGCCCAUGCCUUAGCAAAGGCAGUCGCUUAUCUUUGUCCCGGGCACCAUGUGUGA
Molecule: ribosomal RNA, 546 nt
Filed under: Triticum aestivum (bread wheat)
Lineage: Eukaryota; Viridiplantae; Streptophyta; Magnoliopsida; Poales; Poaceae
Description: partial small subunit ribosomal RNA
Source: RNAcentral